Molecule: long non-coding RNA, 203 nt
Filed under: Elaeis guineensis (African oil palm)
Lineage: Eukaryota; Viridiplantae; Streptophyta; Magnoliopsida; Arecales; Arecaceae
Description: long non-coding RNA (EGUI_LNC002803)
Source: RNAcentral
CGUUGGCCAUCUGUAGUCAAACGAGAAAGCAAAAGUGACAAACCGAACAAUUCUAUAUGAUCUCAAAAGUAGAUUAAAUAAAGCCAAAAGUUUAUAAGUAGAAGAAUUAUAUCCAGUCUUAUGAGAUUAUCGAAUAACUCCUCACAUUCCAACCGAAGAGUCAUCGUUAAAUCUAGCAUACGAAAUGAAAGCAGUGAUCCCAC